CGAAUGCCAGUAUUGGAGAAAUGAAGACCUACAAUGCACCACCACUCGACGUUCAUGCUGUGGUAAAGUGUGUGUACACGAUUCUUGGUGAGAAUCCUAGACGUCUAGAUCACUGGCAGGAGUGUGUGGUUUUGUUGAGUAAGCUGGGAAGAAAGCAUUGUGAGGAA
Bolinopsis microptera is the source of this 167-nucleotide long non-coding RNA. RefSeq lists it as uncharacterized. Lineage: Eukaryota; Metazoa; Ctenophora; Tentaculata; Lobata; Bolinopsidae. The transcript has 3 exons. The record is from RefSeq and is a predicted model, not a curated record.